RNAcentral lists this ribosomal RNA (253 nucleotides) under uncultured bacterium. RNAcentral describes it as "partial 16S ribosomal RNA". It matches the Rfam family "Bacterial small subunit ribosomal RNA", at positions 524 to 776 of the family's 1533-position model. The record is from RNAcentral.
UACGUAGGGCGCAAGCGUUGUCCGGAAUUAUUGGGCGUAAAGAGCUCGUAGGCGGCUUGUCACGUCGGGUGUGAAAGCCCGGGGCUUAACCCCGGGUCUGCAUUCGAUACGGGCAGGCUAGAGUGUGGUAGGGGAGAUCGGAAUUCCUGGUGUAGCGGUGAAAUGCGCAGAUAUCAGGAGGAACACCGGUGGCGAAGGCGGCAUCCUGGACCGGCAUUGACGCUGAGGAGCGAAAGCCAGGGGAGCAAACGGG